RNAcentral lists this ribosomal RNA (520 nucleotides) under uncultured bacterium. RNAcentral's name for it is "bacterial SSU rRNA". It matches the Rfam family "Bacterial small subunit ribosomal RNA", at positions 8 to 526 of the family's 1533-position model. The record is from RNAcentral.
AGAGUUUGAUCCUGGCUCAGGAUGAACGCUGGCGGCGUGCUUAACACAUGCAAGUCGAGCGAAGCGCCUUAUUUAGAUUCCUUCGGGAUGAAGGAUUUGGCGACUGAGCGGCGGACGGGUGAGUAACGCGUGGGCAACCUGCCUCACACAGGGGGAUAACAGCUAGAAAUGGCUGCUAAUACCGCAUAAGGCCGAAGCACCGCAUGGUGCGGCGGCAAAAGCUCCGGCGGUGUGAGAGGGGCCCGCGUCUGAUUAGGUAGUUGGUGCGGUACCGGCGCACCAAGCCGACUAUCAGUAGCCGACCUGAGAGGGUGACCGGCCACAUUGGGACUGAGACACGGCCCAAACUCCUACGGGAGGCAGCAGUGGGGAAUAUUGCACAAUGGGGGAAACCCUGAUGCAGCGACGCCGCGUGGAGGAUGAAGUAUUUCGGUAUGUAAACUUCUAUCAGCAGGGAAGAAGAUGACGGUACCUGACUAAGAAGCCCCGGCUAACUACGUGCCAGCCGCCGCGGUAAUAC